GAAACGACUGCUAAGACUGGAUAGGAGACAAGAAGGCAUCUUCUUGUUUUUAAAAGACCUAGCAAUAGGUAUGCUUAGGGAGGAGCUUGCGUCACAUUAGUUAGUUGGUGGGGUAAAGGCCUACCAAGACUAUGAUGUGUAGCCGGGCUGAGAGGUUGAACGGCCACAUUGGGACUGAGACACGGCCCAAACUCCUACGGGAGGCAGCAGUAGGGAAUUUUCGGCAAUGGAGGAAACUCUGACCGAGCAACGCCGCGUGAACGAUGAAGUAUUUCGGUACGUAAAGUUCUUUUAUUAGGGAAGAAUAAAUGAUGGAAAAAUCAUUCUGACGGUACCUAAUGAAUAAGCCCCGGCUAACUAUGUGCCAGCAGCCGCGGUAAUACAUAGGGGGCAAGCGUUAUCCGGAAUUAUUGGGCGUAAAGGGUGCGUAGGCGGUUAAAUAAGUUUAUGGUCUAAGUGCAAUGCUCAACAUUGUGAUGCUAUAAAAACUGUUUAGCUAGAGUAAGAUAGAGGCAAGUGGAAUUCCAUGUGUAGUGGUAAAAUGCGUAAAUAUAUGGAGGAACACCAGUAGCGAAGGCGGCUUGCUGGGUCUUUACUGACGCUGAGGCACGAAAGCGUGGGGAGCAAACAGGAUUAGAUACCCUGGUAGUCCACGCCGUAAACGAUGAGUACUAAACGUUGGGUAAAACCAGUGCUGAAGUUAACACAUUAAGUACUCCGCCUGAGUAGUACGUACGCAAGUAUGAAACUUAAAGGAAUUGACGGGACUCCGCACAAGCGGUGGAUCAUGUUGUUUAAUUCGAAGGUACCCGAAAAACCUCACCAGGUCUUGACAUGCUUCUGCAAAGCUGUAGAAACACAGUGGAGGUUAUCAGUUGCACAGGUGGUGCAUGGUUGUCGUCAGCUCGUGUCGUGAGAUGUUGGGUUAAGUCCCGCAACGAGCGCAACCCUUAUUGUUAGUUACCAGCACGUAAUGGUGGGGACUUUAGCAAGACUGCCAGUGAUAAAUUGGAGGAAGGUGGGGACGACGUCAAAUCAUCAUGCCCCUUAUGACCUGGGCUACAAACGUGAUACAAUGGCUGUUACAAAGGGUAGCUGAAGCGCAAGUUUUUGGCGAAUCUCAAAAAAACAGUCUCAGUUCGGAUUGAAGUCUGCAACUCGACUUCAUGAAGUUGGAAUCGCUAGUAAUCGCGAAUCAGCAUGUCGCGGUGAAUACGUUCGCGGGGUUUGUACACACCGCCCGUCAAAUCACGAA
Molecule: ribosomal RNA, 1255 nt
Filed under: 'Catharanthus roseus' phytoplasma
Lineage: Bacteria; Bacillati; Mycoplasmatota; Mollicutes; Acholeplasmatales; Acholeplasmataceae
Description: bacterial SSU rRNA
Rfam family: Bacterial small subunit ribosomal RNA
Source: RNAcentral